RNAcentral lists this long non-coding RNA (1324 nucleotides) under Zonotrichia albicollis (white-throated sparrow). Its description in RNAcentral is "lncRNA (ENSZALG00000003285.1)". Lineage: Eukaryota; Metazoa; Chordata; Aves; Passeriformes; Passerellidae. The record is from RNAcentral.
CCCUGUGGCUCCGUAUAAAUGUCAUUUUCCCUUGGGAAGGGUGGGAGGCUGGGCUGGUGCUCUGCUGGGGCUGACAGACACAAAAACACAUGAUGACAAUGCAGAGGUGAGCAAGUGCAGACUGCAUUAAGCUCUCUUAGGGAGGGAUCCCCAGGUGUUGGAAAAUCAGAAUUACUCUGUUUCUGGGACGCAAGGAUCUCUUGGCAUAAUGGGAUAGAUUCAAGGAGCGCAGAGGUGAUCAAGCAGCAGCUGCCGAGCUGUGCAGCCUGAAGCAGAAGUGCGAUUCGUUGACGGGACAGGUCAUGUCCAAACCUCGGAGGUGUCCGGAGAGUACUGCUUCUGGGGAAGGUGCUGAUACUGCCAAGAAAUGCUUCAGCCAUGAAAUGGCACUUGUCCUUGCCAGGGCCCUGCUUGGAGAGGACUGGCACCCUCAGCAGCACCUAAAGCAGGUGGGACUCACCUCAGGUAACAGCUUUGUCUCACCUCCAUCACCCUCACAGCAAUGGAAGAACCUGCCCUGGGUCCUUUCCACCAGCUCACUUGGAACACAGUAAUGCAAAGGACAGUCAGUCCUGCCACGCCUGCACAUGAAUGGUUCAUAUUUAAACUGACACAGGCAAAGUGUAGAAAGCUCCAAGGUAUGAACUAUUGUUUUUCUGCACCUGGAAGACAUAAUCCUUGAGGGGUGAUGAGCAUCCAGAGUAAGCCUGGCUGCCUUUGGAAGCAGCAGGGCAGAAAAGUACAGUGGCAGAGAGGGGGACAAUGCUUUCUGCAUCACCACCUGAAAUUUCUGUUUAUACAGGGCAAUGAAAAUAUAUUGAGAAACUCACAUGGAAAUACAUUUGCUGCUGCCUUAGAUUUUGUCAAGGUUUCUUCCUAGCUGUGUGGGUUUUCCUAGCUGUGUUCGAUAGUAUUCCAUCACACACAGUCUGGGUAUUGUUUUACUCUUGUUAGCCCGUAGAAAUUCAAACAUUCAGCUGUGCAAUUUGUGAAGUGGCUUAAAGCAUCUGUUCAAUUACUUGCAACAUGUUGCAUGUCUUGGGGCAGGGCUGAAAAAUCAGUCUCCAUUAAUCAGUAGCCUUUACAGCUUUGCUUUUGCAAUUUUAAUGUGAGAUUUAAAAAGAAAGCAGCAAUGUGUUUCAGCUUAACCCAAGUGCACAGAAGGCUGGGUGAUCUUUAAAAACUGGCAGAUUUCUGUGCUUCCUUCCUGCUGACAGCACCACAAUCCACAUUAAUUGCCUUGUCUUCUGAAAGACUGUCCCAAGUGAAAUUCCCAGUAGCACGCUGCAUUUGGCAGUUGUAAUACUAAAGAAUAUACUUGGAC